CAUUGUUACAGCACUCACUCCCUCUUCUCCCCCCUUAUAUUGAAGGCUCCCUCAAACUCCACUUUCCUCUCCACGAGAGAGAGAGAGAGAGAGAGAGAGAGAGUUUUGAAGGAAGAAAUUAGUGUUGCGUUGGUUUCAUAUAUACUGCAACUAGAGGAAGCAUCCAAAGGGAUCGCAUUGAUCCCAACUAGCCAUCUCUUCCAUGGUUUAAUUUGGAUCAUGCUAUCCCUUUGGAUAUCUCCUUUGGCAGCUUCAAACUUUUAGAUAUAUAUAUAUAUAUAUCAUGCGCAUCAACAACUAUAGAUAAUCAAGGAGUUCAUCCGAUUGACUCCGCGAUUUCUUGCCUUUGAGUCUAGCUAUGGCUUUUUGCUUGGCAAGAACAUGAAGGAAAAAAAAAAACAUGCACCUCAAACAUUCAAGUCUAGUUGGGUUUGUAAACUGAUUUGUGUUGUCCUUGAGCUAGUAAUUUUAAUUUGAAGGUAUAUGAACACGUUGGAUCUGAUUUCCAUGGGGAUGCAUCUGGGCGCUCAAACCCAGAAAUCUUAAUCUCCUUCUUUACAGUUGUAAUGGAUGUUAAUUUUAUUUGCAUACAGUGUGUGAGUGUGAGUGUGAGUGUGUUUGCGCUUGUAAACAACGAUAGGUUAAAACUUAAAACCCAACCAAGGAAAUUAAUAAUAGAUUACAUAUCUAUGGUGAAGAUAUACGAAUGUUAAAUUCUGCAGUCAGUAUCUAUUUUCUCAAGCAACAUAUAUGCAGGUGGCUUUGAUUAAACCAGAAGGAUCUUUUGCAACUUUUUUACUCAAACACCUGUAUAAAGCGAAACAUAAAAGAAGGUUGCAUAUUAAAAAUUUGUAGUAAAAUUUUGAUGUUCGUGUUCAUGAGUCAUGAUUAACAGAUAAUUAGUGGAAGCUAGCUAGCUAGCUAGGUGAACAUUGCAACUAAAACAGUGCCAUAUGAUAAUAAUUUCUACAUGUGUCUUGGGUUACAAUUUACCCCAUUUUCUGAAACUUUUGAUGAUUGCCUGCGUCUCAACAAUUUGAUCAUUUUCAAUUUUUUGACCUUCUGUAAAGGUAACUUUAUUAUAGAAAUAGUAUGAGACUAAUUACCUCUGUAUUUAGCAUCGGUGGGAGAGGCUCGGGAUCCAUUUUCAAUUAGCAUGAACCAAGUUUUGCUGACUCUAUUUUAUGCUUGUCGCAACAGAACAGACUAGCUAACAUGGCCACACAUUGCUAUGGCCCAAAGUCAAGUCUCCAAAUCACAUGCUUUUGAAGACUUUAAUUAGAAUCCAAGGCAGUGGAAGAUGAGAUAUAUAUAUAUAAACUUAGAGAGACUUCCUUUUUUUCUCCCACUCUGGGCCUCACAUUGAGUGUACCGAAGGCAAAGGCAAAGGCAAAGGCAUCAUACACAUGUGAUGAGACCUUAAUUAAGAAAAAGUCCUUUUAAUUAGCCGUUGAUCUCAUUUGAAAUAAAGGGUCAUUUUGUUAUACCUCAUACAUAUGCCACAUGACCCCAACAUUCUAACACUCUCCUUUUGUCACAUGGCCACGACCUUCCACCAUCUCACUUUCCUUAAUUAAUUAAUAUUAAUUGAGUAAAUGUACUUAAAAUACGCGUGCGUCGAUUACAUACAUUUCUCUCACACACAUGUAUGUAGAAUUUACGAUUAAAUUGUUAAUUUUACCCUGUGUAAAUUGUAA
Long non-coding RNA from Prunus avium (sweet cherry), 1697 nucleotides. RefSeq lists it as uncharacterized. Lineage: Eukaryota; Viridiplantae; Streptophyta; Magnoliopsida; Rosales; Rosaceae. The record is from RefSeq and is a predicted model, not a curated record.